AAUAAAGAUAAACUUUAAAUUACCAAUACAAUACAAUUACCAUAUUCGAGGAAGAAAAAUGGGUUUUAAGUUUAUUGUCGAAUUUCACAACGAUUCACGAAAGCCUUGUCCAAUUUACGACAUCGAUCUACUUUUUGACUUUUUAUCAAUCAAACUUUAUCAAUAUUAGGGGGAAAAAGUUGAAUUUGUUUAUUUUGGAGGUACUUUUUUUUGCAAACUUGUGCCUUUGUACAUGUCACUGGCGUAAUCUAGCGUUUUGCCUCAAAAUUGUAUUCUCUCGUGGUCCACCACUUCGUUACCGGUCUCCAUUUUAGGUGAUUUAUUCCAGCCGAUUCUCAACUCUCAAGAUCUACUCGCUUAAACAAAAAAAAUUAUAUAAACAUAUAAAUAUUAUAUUGUUAUAUAAAAAUCACAAAAAGCGACUUGAAAGAGAAAAAAAUGGACCGGAGCAGAUAUUAUCCUGGGAUAAGAGAAUAUCAACAUUCUGAGUUUGAUAUUGGUGAAAAUAAUUUAGAUAUUAAUUUACCAGGCAGUUCAAGAGACCAGUUUUUAUCCAGUAGGCAUGAUUCACACUCCCUUCAACAUUUGGAACUAGUGAAUGCCAUUUUAAAAAAAGAGCGAAAGACAUUCAGUAAAUACUUCAAUUAUCCCGAUGAUACAUGUAGCGAUAAGGAUUUUCAAGAAUGCAACGAUGAAAGGACUGGAGUAAAAAGGAAACAGAAAUAUGUCAAUGUGGAUUAUGAAUUGUCUAUGGACAAUGAGAAACUUCCUUUUGAAUCAUAUAUGGAAAGGAUUAAGGAGCACUUAAACCGCUCUCACACUGUCCGCAUCAUUGAAAAAUGUACUUAUGAAAAAAAUGGGCAGAAAAAAUUGUUUCAGGGUGUGCUGAACAAAUUGAAACAAGACAGCCAUAAUUUGAGAACUUUCAUGCAGGUAGUUAAGAAUUCAUCAAUUUCUACUUUAAAAGAAGAAAAUGGGCCCCAAAAGGAUUUAUUAUAUGCAAAUGGAAAAAAUGCAUCGACUACUAAUGAAGGGAAAGAAAUAUUGUCGGGCAGUAAUUUAUCUUCUUACAUGCCUGAGGAAAGUUCGGAUUCUGAUCAUUCUGCAAGUGAAGAAACUGAUAAUAUGCUUGCCUUUGAUAAAAGAAAACCGAUGCAGAAAAAGUUCAAAGGAGUUAAAACUAGGCGUCUCCUUCCAGACAAAGUUGCUAUCAAACAGAAAUCGCUUAUUUAUGGUUUUGGUGCGCAAGUAAGGCAGCUGUCGAAGGAUUUGGAACAAUUUCAUAAAAAGCGCUUUCCAGUUGGCCUCAGCCCGAGGGACCGGCUGCUCUGGCUGCAAGAAAAUCGAGACACAGGGAUUUGGGUUCAGUGUUCUGAUUGCAGCAAAUGGAGAUAUUUGUACAGAGUGAAAGAUGCAUUGGAAAUCAAGCCGUUUUGGGUUUGUUCGAUGAACUCUGAUUUUGAUUUCAACAAAUGUAGCAUUCCUCAGGCGGCCAGUUUUGACCCAAAAGAUCUCAUCGAUGCUGACUACAGUCCUGGCUCUGUUGUGUUAGCCAAAGUAAAAGGCUUUCCUUGGUGGCCGGCUAUCGUUGAUGACAACCCCGAAUGUGAACAAUUUUAUUGGUUAAAAGAAACUUCCAAUGAAGUAGUGAAGUUUCUACCAUGUUGUAUUCUUCGACUCUCGUAAGAAGUGUACCAACGCAUGGGUCGAUCUCGACUCAAUAAGACCCUACAUUGAAACUUUCAUGUUGUGUUUUCCAUUAUCGCGUAACAACAAUUGCUUGUACAAAAGGCGAUUAAAGUUUGCAAAAAUCGAAGCUGAAAAAGCGUUGAAGAUGGAAUGUGCU
Molecule: unclassified non-coding RNA, 1846 nt
Filed under: Cimex lectularius (bed bug)
Lineage: Eukaryota; Metazoa; Arthropoda; Insecta; Hemiptera; Cimicidae
Description: zinc finger CW-type PWWP domain protein 1-like, transcript variant X1
Source: RNAcentral